AACACAUGCAAGUCGGACGGUAGCACAGAGAGCUUGCUCUUGGGUGACGAGUGGCGGACGGGUGAGUAAUGUCUGGGGAUCUGCCCGAUAGAGGGGGAUAACCACUGGAAACGGUGGCUAAUACCGCAUAACGUCGCAAGACCAAAGAGGGGGACCUUCGGGCCUCUCACUAUCGGAUGAACCCAGAUGGGAUUAGCUAGUAGGCGGGGUAAUGGCCCACCUAGGCGACGAUCCCUAGCUGGUCUGAGAGGAUGACCAGCCACACUGGAACUGAGACACGGUCCAGACUCCUACGGGAGGCAGCAGUGGGGAAUAUUGCACAAUGGGCGCAAGCCUGAUGCAGCCAUGCCGCGUGUAUGAAGAAGGCCUUCGGGUUGUAAAGUACUUUCAGCGGGGAGGAAGGCGACGGGGUUAAUAACCGCGUCGAUUGACGUUACCCGCAGAAGAAGCACCGGCUAACUCCGUGCCAGCAGCCGCGGUAAUACAA
RNAcentral lists this ribosomal RNA (487 nucleotides) under Pantoea sp. C1B1Y. RNAcentral's name for it is "bacterial SSU rRNA". It matches the Rfam family "Bacterial small subunit ribosomal RNA", at positions 50 to 528 of the family's 1533-position model. The record is from RNAcentral. Lineage: Bacteria; Pseudomonadati; Pseudomonadota; Gammaproteobacteria; Enterobacterales; Erwiniaceae.